GUGAAUCAUCGAAUUUUUGAACGCAAAUUGCGCCUUUUUGGGUUGGCGUGUGUGUUUGAGGGCACGAUUUAAUAAAUAAUGUGCUGCGUUUUCUGUUGCCCACGUUGAUGAGCCUUCCGAGAGUCUUACAUUUUUGGUGGCGCAUAAUGAGCAUGGAGAACGUUUUUUUCAGUUCGAGUGUAGUAAAAUCUUUGGUUGGGUUGUGAAAAAACAUAAUCGCGCAAUGGGUGUGUCAAUUUCU
RNAcentral lists this unclassified non-coding RNA (241 nucleotides) under Paraglomus sp. RNAcentral's name for it is "partial internal transcribed spacer 2". Lineage: Eukaryota; Fungi; Glomeromycota; Glomeromycetes; Paraglomerales; Paraglomeraceae. The record is from RNAcentral.